GGCUGGUCCAAUGGUAGUGGGUUAUCACAACCUACAAACAUUAGUGUCACUAAAGUUGGUAUUCACCCCCCCCACUAAAUUUGACUGGUUUUAA
Molecule: Y RNA, 94 nt
Filed under: Microcebus murinus (gray mouse lemur)
Lineage: Eukaryota; Metazoa; Chordata; Mammalia; Primates; Cheirogaleidae
Description: Y RNA (ENSMICG00000046722.1)
Rfam family: Y RNA
About the family: Y RNAs are components of the Ro ribonucleoprotein particle (Ro RNP), in association with Ro60 and La proteins. The Y RNAs and Ro60 and La proteins are well conserved, but the function of the Ro RNP is not known. In humans the RNA component can be one of four small RNAs -- hY1, hY3, hY4 and hY5.
Source: Rfam by way of RNAcentral